UGGGGAAUUUUGGACAAUGGGGGAAACCCUGAUCCAGCCAUCCCGCGUGUGCGAUGAAGGCCUUCGGGUUGUAAAGCACUUUUGGCAGGAAAGAAACGUCAUGGGUUAAUACCCCGUGAAACUGACGGUACCUGCAGAAUAAGCACCGGCUAACUACGUGCCAGCAGCCGCGGUAAUACGUAGGGUGCAAGCGUUAAUCGGAAUUACUGGGCGUAAAGCGUGCGCAGGCGGUUCGGAAAGAAAGAUGUGAAAUCCCAGAGCUCAACUUUGGAACUGCAUUUUUAACUACCGGGCUAGAGUGUGUCAGAGGGAGGUGGAAUUCCGCGUGUGGAAGUGAAAUGCGUCGAUAUGCGGAGGAACACCGAUGGCGAAGGCAGCCUCCUGGGAUAACACUGACGCUCAUGCACGAAAGCGUGGGGAGCAAACAGG
RNAcentral lists this ribosomal RNA (429 nucleotides) under Acidobacteriota bacterium. RNAcentral's name for it is "Acidobacteria bacterium partial 16S ribosomal RNA". It matches the Rfam family "Bacterial small subunit ribosomal RNA", at positions 355 to 776 of the family's 1533-position model. Lineage: Bacteria; Pseudomonadati; Acidobacteriota. The record is from RNAcentral.